Molecule: long non-coding RNA, 983 nt
Filed under: Struthio camelus australis
Lineage: Eukaryota; Metazoa; Chordata; Aves; Struthioniformes; Struthionidae
Description: lncRNA (ENSSCUG00000012026.1)
Source: RNAcentral
CGAAGGGAAGCGGAGCGGAGCGGAGCGGGCGAAGUCUCGCGAGACCUGCCGGCGUUCCCGCGCGGCCGUUGGGCCCUUAGGGCGGCAACGAAGCCUCCAGGCUUUGGGAUGCCGUGGGCGGGCGCCUCUCGGCCCGGUGCUCUCGUGGUUACUAGCGUUUCACGGACAACAGAUGGAAGUGCUGCUGUGCAGGAAAAGCUACAUUUUCUUGCUGAAGCUGAUGACAGCGCUUCUUUUAUUAUCAAGGGAACUGUCUGGGUUGGACUGCUUUUUAACAAACUGAUCACAACCUUUCAAAUCAGCAAAAAGUCAAGCAGGCAGGCCCCCCCUUUCAACAGAGAUUUAGAUUCAGAACUUAUUGUCAGCAUCCCAGCCAGAAAUACAAGACAGCAACUAGCUUUUGGCAGGUGCCAUAAAAGCAGCCCUUGAGACCAAGCGAAAGAUUCCUCAGAUACUGCACUGCUAAGGAUUCAUCCUUUCUGAUCUUCUACUGUGCCACUCACCUGACAGCGAACAAGGAACUGCCUCAGUUGGCACCAUGGACAGAGGCCCCCUCUAUGUGUGGCUAUAGUUGUAGACUGUCCCUUCCUGACAAGUCUUACCUGUGUGUAUAACUGAGAGAUUUAGGUAAUUUAAUUAGAUUAACUGAAUUAGUUGCAUUGGUAGAUUUUGAGGGUGGAUAAUUCUUCCCCCAAAACUGGGCAAAAUCAAUGUUUCAUCUCCUGUGAAGUAUUUUUAGUUCGAGGAUAUUUCAAAUUGACAACUGGUAGCUUAAAUAGUCUGAAGUAUUAUUCCCUAACACAUAAUGUGAGAAUAACAGUAAAUACUAUUGUGAACCAGUAGUGCAGCUGUAAGAUGACAUUGGCAAACUUUGCUUUUUGUUAUUAGUCCUCUGCCCUCUAAAAUAUACUUACAGCCCCCUGCUAUGUAUCACCAUUGCUACACCGAAUAAACAUAUACAAUUCUAACCCUAGAUGAAAAGA